RNAcentral lists this ribosomal RNA (253 nucleotides) under uncultured bacterium. RNAcentral's name for it is "partial 16S ribosomal RNA". It matches the Rfam family "Bacterial small subunit ribosomal RNA", at positions 524 to 776 of the family's 1533-position model. The record is from RNAcentral.
UACAGAGGUGGCAAGCGUUGUUCGGAAUUACUGGGCGUAAAGCGCACGUAGGUGGUCCGCUAAGUCGCGUGUGAAAUCCCCCGGCUCAACCGGGGAAUUGCGCGCGAUACUGGCGGGCUAGAGAUCGGGAGGGGUGAGUGGAACUCCAGGUGGAGCGGUGAAAUGCGUAGAUAUCUGGAGGAACACCGGUGGCGAAAGCGACUCACUGGCCCGACACUGACACUGAGGUGCGAAAGCUAGGGUAGCAAACGGG